CCUACGGGUGGCAGCAGUGAGGAAUAUUGGUCAAUGGCCGUAAGGCUGAACCAGCCAAGUCGCGUGAAGGAAGAAGGAUCUAUGGUUUGUAAACUUCUUUUAUAGGGGAAUAAAGGUAUCCACGUGUGGAUAUUUGCAUGUACCCUAUGAAUAAGCAUCGGCUAACUCCGUGCCAGCAGCCGCGGUAAUACGGAGGAUGCGAGCGUUAUCCGGCUUUAUUGGGUUUAAAGGGUGCGUAGGUUGUUUUUUAAGUCAGCGGUGAAAGUUUGUGGCUCAACCAUAAAAUUGCCGUUGAAACUGGCGGGCUGGAGUUGGAGAGAAGUACGCGGAAUGCGCGGUGUAGCGGUGAAAUGCUUAGAUAUCGCGCAGAACCCCGAUUGCGAAGGCAGCGUACCGGCUCCACACUGACGCUGAGGCACGAAAGCGUGGGUAUCGAACAGGAUUAGAUACCCCUGGUAGUC
Molecule: ribosomal RNA, 461 nt
Filed under: uncultured bacterium
Lineage: Bacteria
Description: partial 16S ribosomal RNA
Rfam family: Bacterial small subunit ribosomal RNA
Source: RNAcentral